Molecule: transfer RNA, 69 nt
Filed under: Acrocephalus arundinaceus (great reed warbler)
Lineage: Eukaryota; Metazoa; Chordata; Aves; Passeriformes; Sylviidae
Also listed under: 1 other name
Description: tRNA-Val
Source: RNAcentral
CAAGACGUAGCUUAACAAAAGCAUCCAGCUUACACCUGAAAGAUAUCUACUAACAACAGAUCGUCUUGA